UGGGGAAUUUUGGACAAUGGGCGCAAGCCUGAUCCAGCCAUGCCGCGUGCAGGAUGAAGGCCCUCGGGUUGUAAACUGCUUUUGUACGGAACGAAAAGCCUCUUUCUAAUAAAGAGGGGUGAUGACGGUACCGUAAGAAUAAGCACCGGCUAACUACGUGCCAGCAGCCGCGGUAAUACGUAGGGUGCGAGCGUUAAUCGGAAUUACUGGGCGUAAAGGGUGCGCAGGCGGUCUUGCAAGUCAGAUGUGAAAGCCCCGGGCUUAACCUGGGAAUUGCGUUUGAAACUACAAGGCUAGAGUGCAGCAGAGGGGAGUGGAAUUCCAUGUGUAGCAGUGAAAUGCGUAGAGAUGUGGAAGAACACCGAUGGCGAAGGCAGCUCCCUGGGUUGACACUGACGCUCAUGCACGAAAGCGUGGGGAGCAAACA
Molecule: ribosomal RNA, 427 nt
Filed under: uncultured bacterium
Lineage: Bacteria
Description: bacterial SSU rRNA
Rfam family: Bacterial small subunit ribosomal RNA
Source: RNAcentral